RNAcentral lists this ribosomal RNA (253 nucleotides) under uncultured bacterium. Its description in RNAcentral is "partial 16S ribosomal RNA". It matches the Rfam family "Bacterial small subunit ribosomal RNA", at positions 524 to 776 of the family's 1533-position model. The record is from RNAcentral.
GACGGAGGAUGCAAGUGUUAUCCGGAAUCACUGGGCGUAAAGCGUCUGUAGGUGGUUUAAUAAGUCAACUGUUGAAUCUUGAGGCUCAACCUCAAAAUCGCAGUCGAAACUAUUAGGCUAGAGUAUAGUAGGGGUAAAGGGAAUUUCCAGUGGAGCGGUGAAAUGCGUAGAGAUUGGAAAGAACACCGAUGGCGAAGGCACUUUACUGGGCUAUUACUAACACUCAGAGACGAAAGCUAGGGUAGCAAAUGGG